Molecule: ribosomal RNA, 251 nt
Filed under: uncultured bacterium
Lineage: Bacteria
Description: partial 16S ribosomal RNA
Rfam family: Bacterial small subunit ribosomal RNA
Source: RNAcentral
AAAGUGUCUUCGGACAUUAGUAGAGUGGCAAACGGGUGAGUAACGCGUGGGAAUAUACCUUAUAGUACGGAAUAGCCUCGGGAAACUGGGAUUAAUACCGUAUACGCCCUUCGGGGGAAAGAUUUAUCGCUAUAAGAUUAGCCCGCGUUAGAUUAGCUAGUUGGUGGGGUAAAAGCCUACCAAGGCAACGAUCUAUAGCUGGUCUGAGAGGACGAUCAGCCACACUGGGACUGAGACACGGCCCAGACUCC